This 460-nucleotide ribosomal RNA is filed under the name uncultured bacterium. RNAcentral's name for it is "partial 16S ribosomal RNA". It matches the Rfam family "Bacterial small subunit ribosomal RNA", at positions 338 to 795 of the family's 1533-position model. The record is from RNAcentral.
CCUACGGGAGGCAGCAGUGAGGAAUAUUGGUCAAUGGACGAGCGUCUGAACCAGCCAAGUAGCGUGAAGGAUGACUGCCCUAUGGGUUGUAAACUUCUUUUAUAUGGGAAUAAAACGUUCCACGUGUGGGAUUUUGUAUGUACCAUAUGAAUAAGGAUCGGCUAACUCCGUGCCAGCAGCCGCGGUAAUACGGAGGAUCCGAGCGUUAUCCGGAUUUAUUGGGUUUAAAGGGAGCGUAGGUGGAUUGUUAAGUCAGUUGUGAAAGUUUGCGGCUCAACCGUAAAAUUGCAGUUGAAACUGGCAGUCUUGAGUACAGUAGAGGUGGGCGGAAUGCGUGGUGUAGCGGUGAAAUGCUUAGAUAUCACGAAGAACUCCGAUUGCGAAGGCAGUUCACUGGACUGCAACUGACACUGAGGCUCGAAAGUGUGGGUAUCAAACAGGAUUAGAUACCCCAGUAGUC